RNAcentral lists this long non-coding RNA (215 nucleotides) under Panax ginseng (ginseng). Its description in RNAcentral is "long non-coding RNA (PGIN_LNC014577)". The record is from RNAcentral. Lineage: Eukaryota; Viridiplantae; Streptophyta; Magnoliopsida; Apiales; Araliaceae.
UUUGGUGUUCUAAGCAAUUUCCUAUAAAUAGGUGCUUAGGUUAGAAUUAAAAAUCACACCAGAAACUGAUGUUUUCUCUCUCUAUAUUAUCGAGCGUAUUCUUGUGAGUAUUUUGAGUAUACUUUGAGUAUUGCUAUACGGUGAAAGUUUAUGUAAUAGCCUAUAUCCAGUAUUUCAGUUAGAAGUACUGUCUUUCCGAGGUAAGGGAUAUUAUU